Molecule: ribosomal RNA, 414 nt
Filed under: uncultured bacterium
Lineage: Bacteria
Description: partial 16S ribosomal RNA
Rfam family: Bacterial small subunit ribosomal RNA
Source: RNAcentral
UGGGGAAUAUUGCACAAUGGGCGCAAGCCUGAUGCAGCCAUGCCGCGUGUGUGAAGAAGGCCUUCGGGUUGUAAAGCACUUUCAGCGAGGAGGAAGGCGUUAAGGUUAAUAACCUUAGCGAUUGACGUUACUCGCAGAAGAAGCACCGGCUAACUCCGUGCCAGCAGCCGCGGUAAUACGGAGGGUGCAAGCGUUAAUCGGAAUUACUGGGCGUAAAGCGCACGCAGGCGGUUUGUUAAGUCAGAUGUGAAAUCCCCGAGCUUAACUUGGGAACUGCAUUUGAAACUGGCAAGCUAGAGUCUUGUAGAGGGGGGUAGAAUUCCAGGUGUAGCGGUGAAAUGCGUAGAGAUCUGGAGGAAUACCGGUGGCGAAGGCGGCCCCCCUGGACAAAGACUGACGCUCAGGUGCGAAAGC